This 468-nucleotide ribosomal RNA is filed under the name uncultured bacterium. Its description in RNAcentral is "partial 16S ribosomal RNA". It matches the Rfam family "Bacterial small subunit ribosomal RNA", at positions 28 to 507 of the family's 1533-position model. The record is from RNAcentral.
GACGAACGCUGGCGGCGUGCUUAACACAUGCAAGUCGAACGGAAAGGCCCUGCUUUUGUGGGGUGCUCGAGUGGCGAACGGGUGAGUAACACGUGAGUAACCUGCCCUUGACUUUGGGAUAACUUCAGGAAACUGGGGCUAAUACCGGAUAGGAGCUCCUGCUGCAUGUGGGGGGUUGGAAAGUUUCGGCGGUUGGGGAUGGACUCGCGGCUUAUCAGCUUGUUGGUGGGGUAGUGGCUUACCAAGGCUUUGACGGGUAGCCGGCCUGAGAGGGUGACCGGCCACAUUGGGACUGGGGUACGGCCCAGACUCCUACGGGAGGCAGCAGUGGGGAAUAUUGCACAAUGGGCGGAAGCCUGAUGCAGCAACGCCGCGUGCGGGAUGACGGCCUUCGGGUUGUAAACCGCUUUCGCCUGUGACGAAGCGUGAGUGACGGUAAUGGGUAAAGAAGCACCGGCUAACUACGUG